UACGGAGGGGGCUAGCGUUGUUCGGAAUUACUGGGCGUAAAGCGCGCGCAGGCGGUUCUUUAAGUCUGAUGUGAAAGCCCACGGCUCAACCGUGGAGGGUCAUUGGAAACUGGGGAACUUUGAGUACAGAAGAGGAAAGCGGAAUUCCACGUGUAGCGGUGAAAUGCGUAGAGAUGUGGAGGAACACCAGUGGCGAAGGCGGGUCUCUGGGCCGAUACUGACGCUGAGGAGCGAAAGCGUGGGGAGCGAACAGG
Molecule: ribosomal RNA, 254 nt
Filed under: uncultured bacterium
Lineage: Bacteria
Description: partial 16S ribosomal RNA
Rfam family: Bacterial small subunit ribosomal RNA
Source: RNAcentral